AUACGGAGGAUGCGAGCGUUAUCCGGAUUUAUUGGGUUUAAAGGGUGCGCAGGCGGCCAUUUAAGUCAGCGGUUAAAUCGUGGGGCUCAACCCCAUUCUGCCGUUGAUACUGGGUGGCUUGAUUGCGGUCGAGGUUGGCGGAAUUCGUUGUGUAGCGGUGAAAUGCAUAGAUAUGACGAAGAACACCGAUUGCGUAGGCAGCUGACCAGACCGCAAAUGACGCUCAUGCACGAAAGUGCGGGGAUCGAACAGGAUUAGAUACCCUGGUAGUCCGCACAGUAAACGAUGAAUACUUGUUUUCGGCGAUAUAAUGUCGGAGGCAAAGCGAAAGCGAUAAGUAUUCCACCUGGGGAGUACGCCGGCAACGGUGAAACUCAAAGGAAUUGACGGGG
RNAcentral lists this ribosomal RNA (392 nucleotides) under uncultured bacterium. Its description in RNAcentral is "partial 16S ribosomal RNA". It matches the Rfam family "Bacterial small subunit ribosomal RNA", at positions 523 to 918 of the family's 1533-position model. The record is from RNAcentral.